Molecule: long non-coding RNA, 701 nt
Organism: Asparagus officinalis (garden asparagus)
Lineage: Eukaryota; Viridiplantae; Streptophyta; Magnoliopsida; Asparagales; Asparagaceae
Exons: 5
Source: RefSeq, a predicted model, not a curated record
AACUUAAAAAAAAACAAUUUUAAUUUUGUUUCCUAUGACCGUACCCCUCAUCUUUCACCCGAUCAAAAUCCCGUCGAAGAAACCUAGGGCUUUUUCUCGUUUCCCACUUCCACUGCCUCCUCUCCUCGACGGAGGAAAACCGCAGCCUCCUCUCCUCGGCUCCCCACUUCCGCCGCCUCUCCUUCUCGCCGACCUUUUCACCGUCGUUUCCCUCCCCUCGUCGGUUCCUCACUUUCGCCGCCUCUCCUUCACUUCCCCUCGUCCGUCAGCCCUUUGUUCGUCGACUUCAAGGCCAUCCCUCUCUAGCAUCCAGUGAUUGGCUUCUUCAGUUGCAGAAAUAGUUCAAAUUGAUUGGUGCGGGCGCUUCGGUUCUCGAUCUUGGAUGCGCUCCCGGUGCUUGGCUUCAGAUUUGUGGGGGUAAAUUUGCAAAUAUGGUUGGUUUCGGGUUAUAUAGGUAAAACCCCCUAAAAGAUAUUUAAAACUGAAACCUUUGCUAAAUUGGUUUUACUUGCUUCUGUUAAAAUGAGGUCCAGUUAAUUUUCUUCCGUAGUGCAUGUUUAGGUGGCUUGUCAGAGUUUAGGGCCACCGAAGAAGGGUGGGGCUGUUAUCGGUGUUGAUAUAAAGAGCAGAAUGUUAAGGUUCCAUCCCAUCACUGUGACUCUAGAGUACGAACAGUUUGUGCUGAUGUUAUGGAGCCUAAA